Molecule: ribosomal RNA, 467 nt
Filed under: uncultured bacterium
Lineage: Bacteria
Description: partial 16S ribosomal RNA
Rfam family: Bacterial small subunit ribosomal RNA
Source: RNAcentral
GACGAACGCUGGCGGCGUGCUUAACACAUGCAAGUCGAACGGAAAGGCCCUGCUUUUGUGGGGUGCUCGAGUGGCGAACGGGUGAGUAACACGUGAGUAACCUGCCCUUGACUUUGGGAUAACUUCAGGAAACUGGGGCUAAUACCGGAUAGGAGCUCCUGCUGCAUGGUGGGGGUUGGAAAGUUUCGGCGGUUGGGGAUGGACUCGCGGCUUAUCAGCUUGUUGGUGGGGUAGUGGCUUACCAAGGCUUUGACGGGUAGCCGGCCUGAGAGGGUGACCGGCCACAUUGGACCUGGGUAACGGCCCGAAUCCCAAGGGGGGGCAGCGGGGGGGAUAUUGGCACAAUGGGGGAAGGCUGGAUGCAGCAACGCGGGGGGGGGGAGAACGGCCUUCGGGUGGUAAACCGCUUUCGCUGGUAACGAGGCGGGAUUGACGGUAAUGGGUAAAGAAGCACCGCCUAAUUACGU